UGGCCUUGGCUUGCUACAUACUGCUGUGAAAGAGCAUCCUGAAUUAUGAGGUAAAUACUUGCUGAUGCCAAAGCUUUUAGCCUACCUGUGAAUUUCCAGGUAUUUACUCUUUGUGUUAGGGAAAAGAAGGAACACUUUCAGAAACUUGAAAGUUAAAUUUAAAAUUAUAUGUACUUUGAUAAUUACCUGUUUUCCAAAAGUAGUUGUCAUAGAACCUUGUUUCAUUCCAUCUACAUAUCUGAGCUCACACCAUUUAGGAUGUCUUAUGAGUAAGUACAACUCUUUAACUAGACUCAUCAAAAAUCUAGGGGUACUGAAAUACAUCAUUAACUUAAAUAUUGAUACCUAGGUCCUGAAUCACCUUUCCAGAAGUAACUGAAUCUAGAAAGCUUUUGCAUAUGCCCAUGCUCUUUACCAUCAACCUCAGCUUUCAAGAGGAAAUUCAUUUACCUUUUCCUUUUCUUACCAGGAAUAUAUUAUUACCACUACAAAACAAUUUGCACGUAUCUGAUUUCAAAUGAAUACAGAGAGGACUGGACUUGUCAGGAAGAAGUUGAGAACUUGUCACAAGCAAGGCUAUAUAUUCAGUCCAGAGUGCUCCUUCUGCGUCACCUUUCAUUUGUACACAUAGCAAAACUGAAGCACAGGAUUAAGGGAUUCCACAUUUUUUAAAAAAUAAACUGUACACUGACAAUAAGAUUAAAAAAAAAUAAUAAUAACUAGAGGUUCUUGUCACAGGUAUGUAGUAAAUAUUUCACCUUAACCUUGGUGUUAGAGAACUUACUUUGCUUAUACAGUUCUUUCUUAAGGUACUACUGCAUAGGGUGAAGCUAACAAACUGGUGAAGAAUUUACCAUGUGAGGAUUUCAGAAGUUUUGAUAAGGAAUAAUAGCUGGUUCUCUUAAUCUAAAACUAUUAUUAGAUCAUCUUUACAGCAGUGCAGCUAAAUCCAACAUAGGAAUGCUGAAGAAUGAGUAGAUCCCCAAAAUGGACUUUGUGUAUUCCCGAGUCUUCAAACAAACAUUUAUUUGCAAUAACAAUAUGAAUAUGAACUCACCUACAAAUAUCUUUGCUGAAAAAAAAAAAAAAAAAAAAAAUCAUUAUUGUAAUCAUGUCUUUCUUUUUAGUAAAUAAUUUUCAGGAAGAUAGUUUAAUUGAUCAGCCACAACAAUGCCUCACUAUUAUCUUUUUGACCCUCUAUGGAGUUAAAAAUAUUGAAAACUGUAGUAUUUAACCCCCCUAAAGGUUCACAUUUCCUUCCCUAUAAAGACUUCCACUUGUCCCCUUCUCUCCCAGUAUUUUCUUUUCUCUGUCCUCCCAGCUGUCAACCGGUAACUGCUUUUCUUCCACUUUUCCUGGCCUACCCAACUGUCCUGCAUGACUUACACUGAUCUAUCUUCCUUCAUACGUACCUCAUCAUCCACACCUUAUUUGUCUUUCUCAGACAAAUAUUAUCUCACUCCAAAUAUUUGUCUUUCACUCUAUCAAGACAAAAUAACCUUUCUGAUAUCAUGGCCAAAAGCAGACAACGACAACAAUGGCACACCACUAUUCUCACUCACAGAAGAGGUUGUUCCCUGUAGGUGUCCAGCCCUGCUUCAUGUCACCAUGCAGGUUACCUCUAUAGUCUAGACCAGCUCUGCUCCUAUUAGGCUUUAUCAACUCCUUGUAGCCAAUGCUUCUUGUUUCCCAAAACACAAAGCAAGCAAAGAUUCAGGACCAAAUUCAGGACUGAAUUCAGGACUGAUAUAAAAUCAUCAGUCCCUAAGGACAUCAGCCCCCAAGGACAUUUGCUGCCAGCUAGGAUUAUCAGUAAGUGGCAAUUUCUACCUCCCUGGAGGAGGCUGGGAUCCUGAACACUCCUAGUCUUUGUGUUGGCCUUCAUAAUAAAAUGACAAAUGAGUGCAACAAUACUACUAGAUGCUAGGUGGGGCAUAUAGAUCUUUCAUGGUUUACAUAGUCUUUAUUGCUUGAACCAGGACAGAGGAAGAUGAGGAGUUCAGAAAACUAUGCUGUGCAUUUUUAAAAUAUAUUUAUUAAUUUUGCAGACAGCACUGUCUUUGUUCUACAUUUUCCCUCCCAGGAAGACAUUAUGAUAAUCAAAUAUGGGGGAUGUCUGCCAGCAACAAGCAAACCAAUGUUUUGAGACCUAGCAAAAUAUACCUAACAUAACUUCGUACGACUGUAUAUAGAUUGAUAACUAAAAACCAGAAGACAGUAAACAUAGAAUGAUUGCCUGUUUCUUUGACUCAAGAUUUCUCUACAACCAGGAAGCUCUGCCUUUGUGAAGAAAGGGGGAGUGGAAGAGUGAAUUUCAUCUGGAGGAAACUGAUAGCAAUUACAAUACCAAAAAGUAAGAAAAAUGAUACCCUCACCUCCUUGAGAAACAGCUUUUUCAGGUAUAUCCAGAUGUGAGAUUCUUGCUUCAUCUUCUUAUUCUGACAUGUUAACAGCCUUUGCAGCUUUCUGCCAUUCACGAAUACAAUUGCUCAACAAGAAACUUCUCUUUCAUGAACUCCAAGACACAGCAACACUGCAAGCCUGACUUGGGUUCAGAUUUCAGACAACUAUAGAGAAUGGAAAUUAUAAUGAAAGCUUAUAGGUCAUGACAACUUUCUGUUGUUGUUGUUAUUUUACAAGUUAUUUUCAUACUGUCCUUGGAAGUUAUAAACAGAAAUAUCAACCAAGAAAGCAUUUUUCCAUCCUCUGGAAAUCAUGAUAUAAGUCUUGUCUUUUCUUGUUAUGUUGUCAGUCUAUUCUCAGAGAAGAGUGGUGACUUGCCAACUUUGCUUCUUGGAGAAUAAUGAGGUAAAGCAGCUGAACAUCAGAAACAGAGCUCAUGAUGAGUUUGUCAUUUGAGUUUAACAGCAGGGGCCCUGCACUUGGUAAUCAUUACUACUGCCUAAUAUACUGCAUGUUUUCUUAGUCAGUAGAGAUUAGAGAAAUGGUGCUUCAGACACCUAUUGGGAAUAGAGCUAAAAAGAAUCAUGAAAAUUUUGUGUAAAAAUAAGAAUGUAUAAUAUACACAUGUUAAUAUAUCUUUGCUGAAUGUUGUUGGCCUAGUAAAAAUGCUGCUUGCUGCUAUGCUGGAGCCCCACCUUUGGGAUUUAACUGUAGACGUUAACAACAAAACUCAGAGACUAUGGGCUUUUGAGGCUUCUAUAAAUUUAGAAACUCAUUGAGAACACUUGUCCACACAGGGGGAAGUUUUCUAAGUUACGUGCUUGGGAUUAGGCUACAUGAGUGCCAACAAUGUUAAUGGGAGUUAUUCUUGUCUCUGAAAAUAUCAGCCUAACUUUGUAAUAAAGUAAUCCUCCACUAUUGGUUUAAACACUUCAUGCCAAAUUUCUGACCUCAGUUACUUAUUUGAAAUCCAAGGUUGUUUUUUGGAUCAGUUUGUAAUGAAUCAGUGCCUGCAGGCAAGAAAAACAAUUGUUCAAUAAAAUCAGAGACAACCAGUA
Long non-coding RNA from Oxyura jamaicensis (ruddy duck), 3461 nucleotides. RefSeq lists it as uncharacterized. The transcript is spliced from 2 exons. The record is from RefSeq and is a predicted model, not a curated record. Lineage: Eukaryota; Metazoa; Chordata; Aves; Anseriformes; Anatidae.